UUUUUAAUCUACACUAUUGUCCUAUAUUAACUAUAUAUAAAGUUGAAUUCUGUGAUUUGUGGUUUUUACCCGAUGGCGGCUGACAAAUUGGACCUCGUCAUUUUAGUAUUAUAGAUAUAUAUAUAUAUUGAUUUAAAGGAAUACAUGGAUUAUAGUUCAAAGUGUCUGUAUUGUUUAAUUUCAUUGUUUUAUAUAUGUAAACUGUAUAUCAUGUAUAAUGUUUUAA
Molecule: long non-coding RNA, 226 nt
Filed under: Mytilus galloprovincialis (Mediterranean mussel)
Lineage: Eukaryota; Metazoa; Mollusca; Bivalvia; Mytilida; Mytilidae
Source: RNAcentral